Molecule: ribosomal RNA, 497 nt
Filed under: uncultured bacterium
Lineage: Bacteria
Description: partial 16S ribosomal RNA
Rfam family: Bacterial small subunit ribosomal RNA
Source: RNAcentral
GAUGAACGCUGGCGGCGUGCCUAAUACAUGCAAGUCGAGCGAACGGACGAGAAGCUUGCUUCUCUGAUGUUAGCGGCGGACGGGUGAGUAACACGUGGAUAACCUACCUAUAAGACUGGGAUAACUUCGGGAAACCGUAGCUAAUACCGGAUAAUAUUUUGAACCGCAUGGUUCAAAAGUGAAAGACGGUCUUGCUGUCACUUAUAGAUGGAUCCGCGCUGCAUUAGCUAGUUGGUAAGGUAACGGCUUACCAAGGCAACGAUGCGUAGCCGACCUGAGAGGGUGAUCGGCCACACUGGAACUGAGACACGGUCCAGACUCCUGCGGGAGGCAGCAGUAGGGAAUCUUCCGCAAUGGGCGAAAGCCUGACGGAGCAACGCCGCGUGAGUGAUGAAGGUCUUCGGAUCGUAAAACUCUGUUAUUAGGGAAGAACAUAUGUGUAAGUAACUGUGCACAUCUUGACGGUACCUAAUCAGAAAGCCACGGCUAACUACGUG